CCGCCUGGGGAGUACGGCCGCAAGGUUAAAACUCAAAGGAAUUGACGGGGACCCGCACAAGCGGUGGAUGAUGUGGAUUAAUUCGAUGCAACGCGAAAAACCUUACCUACCCUUGACAUGGCAGGAACUUUCCAGAGAUGGAUUGGUGCUCGAAAGAGAACCUGCACACAGGUGCUGCAUGGCUGUCGUCAGCUCGUGUCGUGAGAUGUUGGGUUAAGUCCCGCAACGAGCGCAACCCUUGUCAUUAGUUGCUACGAAAGGGCACUCUAAUGAGACUGCCGGUGACAAACCGGAGGAAGGUGGGGAUGACGUCAAGUCCUCAUGGCCCUUAUGGGUAGGGCUUCACACGUCAUACAAUGGUCGGUACAGAGGGUUGCCAAGCCGCGAGGUGGAGCCAAUCCCAGAAAACCGAUCGUAGUCCGGAUCGCAGUCUGCAACUCGACUGCGUGAAGUCGGAAUCGCUAGUAAUCGCGGAUCAGAAUGCCACGGUGAAUACGUUCCCGGGCCUUGUACACAC
This 517-nucleotide ribosomal RNA is filed under the name uncultured bacterium. RNAcentral's name for it is "bacterial SSU rRNA". It matches the Rfam family "Bacterial small subunit ribosomal RNA", at positions 869 to 1390 of the family's 1533-position model. The record is from RNAcentral.